RNAcentral lists this transfer RNA (71 nucleotides) under Bos taurus (domestic cattle). It matches the Rfam family "tRNA". From Rfam's summary of the family: Transfer RNA (tRNA) molecules are approximately 80 nucleotides in length. Lineage: Eukaryota; Metazoa; Chordata; Mammalia; Artiodactyla; Bovidae. The record is from Rfam by way of RNAcentral. RNAcentral also lists the same sequence under 5 other names.
UCCCUGGUAUCUCAGUUGGUAAAGAAUCUGCCUGCAAUGCAGGAGACCCAGUUCAAUUCCUGGCUCAGAAA